UAGUCAUNCGCUCGUCUCAAAGAUUAAGCCAUGCAUGUAUAAGUAUAAAUAGUUAACUUUAAAACUGCGAAAGGCUCAUAUAUCAGUUAUAGUUUAUUUGAUGAAUCAUUGCUACUGGAUAACCGUAGUAAUUCUAGGGCUAAUACAUACAUCAAUCCUCGACAUUCGUGAAGAGGUGUGUUUAUUAGUAUGAAAACCAUAAGCUUCGGCUUAGUAGUGAGUAAUAAUAACCUAACAUAUCGUAUGCUUGUAACGAUAUAUCUUUCAAGUUUCUGCCCUAUCAGCUUUCGAUGGUAGUGUAUUGGACUACCAUGGCAGUAACGGGUAACGAAGAAUUUGGGUUCGAUUUCGGAGAGGGAGCCUGAGAGAUGGCUACCACAUCCAAGGAAGGCAGCAGGCGCGUAAAUUGUCCAAUCCUAACAUAGGGAGACAGUGACGAUACGUCAUGGGGAAGAACUUUAAGUUAGUCCACCAGAUUGAGAACAAGGUACAAUUCUUAUCGAUAAACAAUUGGAGGGCAAGUCUGGUGCCAGCAGCCGCGGUAAUUCCAGCUCCAAUAGCGUAUAUNAACGUUGUU
This 577-nucleotide ribosomal RNA is filed under the name Blastocystis sp. Its description in RNAcentral is "SSU rRNA". It matches the Rfam family "Eukaryotic small subunit ribosomal RNA", at positions 21 to 614 of the family's 1831-position model. Lineage: Eukaryota; Bigyra; Opalinata; Blastocystidae. The record is from RNAcentral.